This 785-nucleotide ribosomal RNA is filed under the name uncultured bacterium. RNAcentral's name for it is "bacterial SSU rRNA". It matches the Rfam family "Bacterial small subunit ribosomal RNA", at positions 74 to 848 of the family's 1533-position model. The record is from RNAcentral.
GUCUCUUCGGGGAUGAUUAAACCGGCGCACGGGUGAGUAACACGUGAGUGACCUGCCUUUUAGACUGGAACAACUUACCGAAAGGUGAGCUAAUGCCGGAUGAGUUAUAUAAGUGCAUGUUUAUAUAGGAAAAGUAGGGGAGACCUGACGCUGAAAGAUGGACUCGCGUCCCAUUAGCUAGUUGGUAGGGUAAUGGCCUACCAAGGCGACGAUGGGUAGCCGGCCUGAGAGGGUGGCCGGCCACACUGGGACUGAGACACGGCCCAGACUCCUACGGGAGGCAGCAGUGGGGAAUUUUGCGCAAUGCUCGUAAGAGUGACGCAGCGACGCCGCGUGAAUGACGAAGGCCUUCGGGUCGUAAAGUUCUUUCGACAGGGAAGAAAAUGCCUAUAAGUAACUGUGUAUGUAUUGACGGUACCUGUAUAAGCAGCCCCGGCUAACUCCGUGCCAGCAGCCGCGGUAAUACGGAGGGGGCGAGCGUUGUACGGAGUGACUGGGCGUAAAGAGCACGUAGGCGGUGUUGUAAGUCAUUAGUCAAAGACUAGAGCUCAACUUUAGUAAGGCUAGUGAUACUAUAAUACUAGAGUAUCAGAGAGGAUUGCAGAAUUCCUGGUGUAGCGGUGAAAUGCGUAGAUAUCAGGAGGAAUACCGUUAGCGAAGGCGGCAAUCUGGCUGGAAACUGACGCUGAGGUGCGAAAGCGUGGGUAGCAAACAGGAUUAGAUACCCUGGUAGUCCACGCUGUAAACGAUGGAUGCUAGGUGUUGGGCUUUUAAGUUCAGUGCCG